AAUAACACCUCCAGAAUCGCGUCGGUCUCUGUACCGGCGACUUAUCUUUCAAAUGCCUGACUAUCAACUGACGAUGGUAGACUCUGCGUCUACCAUGGUCGUUACGGGUAACGGGGAAUCAGGGUUCGAUUCCGGAGAGGGAGCCUGAGAAACGGCUACCACAUCCAAGGAAGGCAGCAGGCACGCAAAUUACCCACUCCCGGCACGGGGAGGUAGUGACAAAAAAUAACGAUACGGGACUCUUUUAGAGGCCCCGUAAUCGGAAUGAAUACACUUUAAAACCUUGUUUAAAGGUCAAUCGGAGGGAAAGUCUGGUGCCAGCAGCCGCGGUAACUCCAGCUCCGAUAGCGUAUAUUAAAAUUGUUGCGGUUAAAAAGCUCGUAGUUGGUUCUGCGUACCACGCUGUCGGUACACCGCCUGUCGGUGACACUGGCAUGCCGUGGUAUGUCCUGUCGGUGGCGGCCGUCUAAGCCACGCGGAAAGCGGCACCGGGUUAUGCCGAGCCGUGUUUCUUCCGCGAGGCCCAAGCGCGGUCGCCGACUCCUAUCCUACCGCGGUGCUCUUCAUUGAGUGUCGAGGUAGGCCGACACGUUUACUUUGAACAAAUUAGAGUGCUUAAAGCAGGCUCAAAUCUCUGCCUGAAUAGUGGUGCAUGGAAUAAUGGAACAGGCCCUUGGUCCUAUUCUGUUGGUCUCCGGGACACAAGGUAAUGAUCAAUAUGGACAGUGCGGGGGCAUUCGUAUUGCGGCGUUAGAGGUGAAAUUCUUGGCUCUUCGCAAGACGCACUAGAGCGAAAGCAUUUGCCAAGUAUGUCUUAAUGAUCAAGAACGAACCUGUAGUAAACCAGGCCCAAGCCGGCCCGUCUCCGCCGAUGUUCCUCCGAUGACUCGGCGGGGAGCUUCCCCCGGGAAACCAAAGCGUUUGGGAACGGGGGAAGUAUGGUUGCAAAGCUGAAACUUAAAGGAAUUGACGGAAGGGCACCACCAGGAGUGGAGCCUGCGGCUUAAUUUGACUCAACACGGGAAACCUCACCAGGUCAGGACAUUGGAAUGAUUGACAGAUUGAUAGCUCUUUCUUGAUUCAGUGGGUAGUGGUGCAUGGCCGUUCUUAGUUGGUGGACCGAUUUGUCUGGUUAAUUCCGAUAACGAACGAGACUCUAGCCUAUUAACUAGACGUUUCCGGUAUCGUAGCUACCGGCGAAAAUCUCUCUUCUUAGGGGGACAGGCGGCUUUUAGCCGCACGAGAUUGAGCAAUAACAGGUCUGUAAUGCCCUUAGAUGUCCUGGGCCGCACGCGCGCUACACUGAAGGAAUCAGCGUGUGUCUUCCCUUGGCCGAAAGGUCCGGGUAACCCGCUGAACCUCCUUCGUGCUAGGAAUUGGGGCUUGCAAUUGUUCCCCAUGAACGAGGAAUUCCCAGUAAGCGCGAGUCAUAAGCUGGCGUUGAUUACGUCCCUGCCCUUUGUACACACCGCCCGUCGCUGCUACCGAUUGAAUGGUUUAGUGAGGUCUUCGGACUGGCGGUAAGCGGGACCGUCUUCGUGUCGGUCUCGCCGAACGCUGGGAAGAUGACCAAACUUGAGCAUUUAGAGGAAGCAAAAGUCUUACAAGGUUUCCGUAAGUGAACCUGCAAAGGAACA
RNAcentral lists this ribosomal RNA (1637 nucleotides) under Orius atratus. Its description in RNAcentral is "SSU rRNA". It matches the Rfam family "Eukaryotic small subunit ribosomal RNA", at positions 253 to 1831 of the family's 1831-position model. Lineage: Eukaryota; Metazoa; Arthropoda; Insecta; Hemiptera; Anthocoridae. The record is from RNAcentral.